This 811-nucleotide ribosomal RNA is filed under the name Fomitiporia sp. Its description in RNAcentral is "LSU rRNA". It matches the Rfam family "Eukaryotic large subunit ribosomal RNA", at positions 66 to 854 of the family's 3401-position model. Lineage: Eukaryota; Fungi; Basidiomycota; Agaricomycetes; Hymenochaetales; Hymenochaetaceae. The record is from RNAcentral.
UAACAAGGAUUCCCCUAGUAACUGCGAGUGAAGCGGGAAGAGCUCAAAUUUAAAAUCUGGCGGUCUUCUGGCUGUCCGAGUUGUAAUCUGGAGAAGCGUUUUCUGUGUUAGACCGUGUACAAGUCUCCUGGAACGGAGCGUCAUAGAGGGUGAGAAUCCCGUCCAUGACACGGACAACUAAUACUUUGUGAUACGCUCUCGAAGAGUCGAGUUGUUUGGGAAUGCAGCUCAAAAUGGGUGGUAAAUUCCAUCUAAAGCUAAAUACAGGCGAGAGACCGAUAGCGAACAAGUACCGUGAGGGAAAGAUGAAAAGCACUUUGGAAAGAGAGUUAAACAGUACGUGAAAUUGUUGAAAGGGAAACGCUUGAAGUCAGUCGCGUUGUGCAGAACUCAGCCUUGCCUCGGCUUGGUGUACUUUCUGCACAACGGGUCAACAUCAAUUUUGGCCCAUGGAGAAAGGUGGGGGGAAUGUAGCGCUGUUUCGGCAGCGUGUUAUAGCCCCCUGCUGUAUACAUGGGCUGGGAUUGAGGAACGCAGCACGCCCUUGUGGCCGGGGGUUCGCCCCACGUACCGUGCUUAGGAUGUUGGCAGAAUGGCUUUAAGCGACCCGUCUUGAAACACGGACCAAGGAGUCUAACAUGCUUGCGAGUGUUCGGGUGGAAAACCCUUGUGCGUAAUGAAAGUGAAAGUUGGGAACCUCCGCAAGGGGGUGCACCGACGCCCGGCCCUGACGUUCUCUGACGGUGCUGCGGUAGAGCAAGUAUGCUGGGACCCGAAAGAUGGUGAACUAUGCCUGAAUUGGGCGAAGCCA